GAUGAAGAACGUAGCGAAAUGCGAUAAGUAGUGUGAAUUGCAGAAUUCAGUGAAUCAUCGAAUCUUUGAACGCACAUUGCGCCCUUUGGUAUUCCUUAGGGCAUGCCUGUUCGAGCGUCAUUUGAAACCUCAAGCUCAGCUUGGUGUUGGGUGUCUGUCCCCGCCUCCGCGGGGACUCGCCUCAAAAUCAUUGGCGGCCGGUACGUUGGCUUCGAGCGCAGCAGAAACGCGAACUCGAGGCCCGGCGGAUCGGCGACCAGAAGUCUCUUCUUCACAGUUUGACCUCGGAUCAGGUAGGGAUACCCGCUGAACUUAAGCAUAUCAAUAAGCGGAGCA
RNAcentral lists this unclassified non-coding RNA (336 nucleotides) under soil metagenome. RNAcentral's name for it is "partial contains 5.8S ribosomal RNA, internal transcribed spacer 2, and large subunit ribosomal RNA". The stretch from base 1 to 120 matches the Rfam family "5.8S ribosomal RNA", at positions 35 to 154 of the family's 154-position model. The record is from RNAcentral.